This 224-nucleotide ribosomal RNA is filed under the name Babesia caballi. RNAcentral describes it as "partial small subunit ribosomal RNA". It matches the Rfam family "Eukaryotic small subunit ribosomal RNA", at positions 567 to 850 of the family's 1831-position model. The record is from RNAcentral. Lineage: Eukaryota; Apicomplexa; Aconoidasida; Piroplasmida; Babesiidae.
CCAGCAGCCGCGGUAAUUCCAGCUCCAAUAGCGUAUAUUAAACUUGUUGCAGUUAAAAAGCUCGUAGUUGAACUUUUGCGUUGUCCUUUUCCUGCUUUGUGCGGGUUAUUGACUUCGCUUUUUCUUUUUACUUUGAGAAAAUUAGAGUGUUUAUCGCAGACUUUUGUCUUGAAUACUUCAGCAUGGAAUAAUAGAGUAGGACUUUGGUUCUAUUUUGUUGGUUU